Molecule: ribosomal RNA, 849 nt
Filed under: uncultured Flavobacteriaceae bacterium
Lineage: Bacteria; Pseudomonadati; Bacteroidota; Flavobacteriia; Flavobacteriales; Flavobacteriaceae
Description: bacterial SSU rRNA
Rfam family: Bacterial small subunit ribosomal RNA
Source: RNAcentral
ACGCUAGCGGCAGGCCUAAUACAUGCAAGUCGAACGGUAACAUUGGUGCUUGCACCAGAUGACGAGUGGCGCACGGGUGCGUAACGCGUAUGCAACCUACCUUUUACUAGAGUAUAGCCCAGAGAAAUUUGGAUUAAUCCUCUAUAACAUCUUUUAAUUUCAUGAUUUUAAGAUUAAAGUUUUAACGGUAAAAGAUGGGCAUGCGUCCUAUUAGUUUGUAGGUGAGGUAACGGCUCACCUAGACUACGAUAGGUAGGGGCCCUGAGAGGGGGAUCCCCCACACUGGUACUGAGACACGGACCAGACUCCUACGGGAGGCAGCAGUAAGGAAUAUUGGACAAUGGACGAAAGUCUGAUCCAGCCAUGCCGCGUGCAGGAUGACAGCCCUACGGGUUGUAAACUGCUUUUAUACAGGAAGAAACACUCCGACGUGUCGGAGCUUGACGGUACUGUAAGAAUAAGGAUCGGCUAACUCCGUGCCAGCAGCCGCGGUAAUACGGAGGAUCCAAGCGUUAUCCGGAAUCAUUGGGUUUAAAGGGUCCGCAGGCUGUUUUUUAAGUCAGAGGUGAAAUCCUACAGCUCAACUGUAGAACUGCCUUUGAUACUGGAAAACUUGAGUUAUUGUGAAGUGGUUAGAAUGUGUGGUGUAGCGGUGAAAUGCAUAGAUAUCACACAGAAUACCGAUUGCGAAGGCAGAUCACUAACAAUAUACUGACGCUCAUGGACGAAAGCGUGGGGAGCGAACAGGAUUAGAUACCCUGGUAGUCCACGCCGUAAACGAUGGAUACUAGCUGUUCGUCUAACAUUGGUUAGAUGAGUGGCUAAGCGAAAGUGAUAAGUAUCCCACCU